RNAcentral lists this long non-coding RNA (240 nucleotides) under Mus musculus (house mouse). RNAcentral describes it as "long non-coding RNA chr7:41722287-41722527". The record is from RNAcentral. Lineage: Eukaryota; Metazoa; Chordata; Mammalia; Rodentia; Muridae.
UCCUUAGCACUUGCGAGCUACACUAUAGCCUUCUUGUCCAGGAAUCUGCCUGACACAUUCAAUGAAGCCAAGUUCCUGUCAUUCAACAUGCAGGUAUUCUUUUGUGUUUGGAUCACUUUCCUCCCUAUCUAUGAUAGCACACAGGAGAAGGUCAUGGUGGUUAUGGAAGUGUUCUCCAUCUUGGCUUUCAGUAUAGCACUCUUUGGAUUGAUUUUUGCCUCCAAGUGCUACAUUAUUUUG